GGUCUCCAUGCAAAAUCAACAGUCCACCUGCACACAAUGAAUUGCAGGAUUGGGGCCAUAAUCUAAAAGAUAAGUUUCAGAGUAGCAGCCGUGUU
Dermochelys coriacea (leatherback sea turtle) is the source of this 95-nucleotide long non-coding RNA. RefSeq lists it as uncharacterized. NCBI's taxonomy places the organism in Eukaryota, Metazoa, Chordata, Testudines, Dermochelyidae. The record is from RefSeq and is a predicted model, not a curated record. The transcript has 3 exons.